UACGUAGGGUGCGAGCGUUGUCCGGAAUUAUUGGGCGUAAAGGGCUCGUAGGCGGUCUGUUGCGUCAGGAGUGAAAACUCGGGGCUUAACCCCGAGCCUGCUUCUGAUACGGGCAGACUAGAGGUAUGCAGGGGAGAACGGAAUUCCUGGUGUAGCGGUGAAAUGCGCAGAUAUCAGGAGGAACACCGGUGGCGAAGGCGGCAUCCUGGACCGGCAUUGACGCUGAGGCGCGAAAGCUAGGGGAGCAAACGGG
This 253-nucleotide ribosomal RNA is filed under the name uncultured bacterium. RNAcentral describes it as "partial 16S ribosomal RNA". It matches the Rfam family "Bacterial small subunit ribosomal RNA", at positions 524 to 776 of the family's 1533-position model. The record is from RNAcentral.